CAGCUCUCUCUCUCUCUCUCUCUCUCUCUCUCUCUCUGUCUGUCUCUCUUCUGUAAAGUUCCCUCCACAUAAAGUCAGGGAACCUGUGAAGUUAGACGUGUGCAACAGGCCAGAGAGGGUCUGUGCUGCUAAUUUUAGGGAGGGCACAGUGCACUCCAACUAUGCGUCUGCGCUGGGGACAAAGCUCUGGAGAACGGGGCAGCCCGAGCUCCUCACAUGCCUCCCGUCCAUACUCGCCUUAUCAGAGAGCGCAGGCUUUCUGGGGUUCCGCCCCUCUUCAAGUACUCAAACUCCCAAGAGGCGCAGAAGUCCCACAGUGAGAGCCGAACCAGGCCACCUCUCUUCUCAUCUCUGCUUGGGGCCAGCUGCUGACCCUCUGUGGCCACGCCGUCACGUCGUGAAGCCCCUUUCACGCACCGGCGAAUCCCUUUUCCCAUCAACUCCCUGGAGGGGCCACACCGCCACCGAUCGUUAUGCGGAAUGAGCCCAUCACCCCGAAACGGGCCCAUCCCCUCAUUACUCGAUCCCGCGCCCCUUGAUCCUGAGCCAUCGCCCCCCACAGCGGAUCGGUUGCCGUUUCUCUCGUUUUGCAGAUGGAAUCACAGGGUGCGCGGGCUCCGCGGUUCUUCGUGUGCAUUUAGCGCCAUCCCACGGGGACGCAUCCCUACAGCUCGGGCAUAACAGCGCUUUCCUGUCACUUAUCUAAUGAUUUUCCACUGUAUCGCGAACACAGAUUCGUCCCCGUCGGACCAGUGCAGGCCGGCUCUGGUUCACUUUGAUUCCACCUCAUUUCCCACCACCAUAAACUUGCUUCCUGGAAAACAAGACGUUCUGGUCUCGUGCUUAUGUGUGCGUGUGCGAGGCCAAUCCACACUGUGACUUAAACCUUUCCACGCGCGCAGUCCAGGGGCGUUUAGUUCAUUCACAGUGGUGAGCAAACACCACCUCCCUGUCACCCUGAAAUACUUUCAUCAGGCCAAAGGGAAAACUCGCAUGGUCUCUCAGUUCUGCCAACCUGCCAACCGGAAACCAGCCUCCUCCUCCCACACACAGGGUCCCAAGCAAGGGCUCCCUCAGGGUCUGGGCUCCUACAGGGUGAGGACAGAUCCACG
This 1112-nucleotide long non-coding RNA is filed under the name Fukomys damarensis (Damara mole-rat). RNAcentral's name for it is "lncRNA (ENSFDAG00000031827.1)". The record is from RNAcentral. Lineage: Eukaryota; Metazoa; Chordata; Mammalia; Rodentia; Bathyergidae.